UUGAAACCGCAAGUUUGGUGCCCGAUGCCAUUAGGUUGAGGGCACGUCUGCCUGGGUGUCACAUAUCGAAGCCUCCUGCCAAUUUCCCUUAGAUUAUUGUGUAGGGUGGAUGUUGGCCUCCCGUGAGCUCGUCUCAUGGUUGGUUGAAAAUUGAGACCUUGGUAGGGUGUGCCAUGAUAGAUGGUGGUUGUGUGACCCACGAGACCAAUCAUGCGCUACUCUAUUUAAUUUGGCCUCUUUUACCCAUAUGCGUUACUAAACGCUCGUGAUGAGACCUCAGGUCAGGCGGGGCUACCCGCUGAAUUUAAGCAUAUCAAUAAGCGGAGGAAAAGAAACUAACAAGGAUUCCCUUAGUAACGGCGAGCGAACCGGGAUAAGCCCACCAUGAGAAUCGGUCGCCCUCGGCGUUCGAAUUGUAGUCGAGAAAAAACCGUCAAAAGGGGG
Molecule: ribosomal RNA, 444 nt
Filed under: Vicia pannonica
Lineage: Eukaryota; Viridiplantae; Streptophyta; Magnoliopsida; Fabales; Fabaceae
Description: eukaryotic LSU rRNA
Rfam family: Eukaryotic large subunit ribosomal RNA (bases 272-444)
Source: RNAcentral